Molecule: ribosomal RNA, 152 nt
Filed under: uncultured Campylobacterota bacterium
Lineage: Bacteria; Pseudomonadati; Campylobacterota
Description: uncultured Epsilonproteobacteria bacterium partial 16S ribosomal RNA
Rfam family: Bacterial small subunit ribosomal RNA
Source: RNAcentral
ACUCCUACGGGAGGCAGCAGUGAGGAAUAUUGCACAAUGGGGGAAACCCUGAUGCAGCAACGCCGCGUGGAGGAUGACGCAUUUCGGUGUGUAAACUCCUUUUAUAUGUCAAGAAAAUGACGGUAGCAUAUGAAUAAGCACCGGCUAACUCC